AUUGAACGCUGGCGGCAUGCUUUACACAUGCAAGUCGAACGGUAACAGGCCGCAAGGUGCUGACGAGUGGCGAACGGGUGAGUAAUGCAUCGGAACGUGCCCAGUCGUGGGGGAUAACGCAGCGAAAGUUGCGCUAAUACCGCAUACGAUCUAUGGAUGAAAGCGGGGGACCGUAAGGCCUCGCGCGAUUGGAGCGGCCGAUGUCAGAUUAGGUAGUUGGUGGGGUAAAGGCUCACCAAGCCGACGAUCUGUAGCUGGUCUGAGAGGACGACCAGCCACACUGGGACUGAGACACGGCCCAGACUCCUACGGGAGGCAGUAGUGGGGAAUUUUGGACAAUGGGCGCAAGCCUGAUCCAGCAAUGCCGCGUGCAGGAAGAAGGCCUUCGGGUUGUAAACUGCUUUUGUACGGAACGAAACGGUCCUGGUUAAUACCCGGGGCUAAUGACGGUACCGUAAGAAUAAGCACCGGCUAACUACGUGCCAGCAGCCGCCGUAA
RNAcentral lists this ribosomal RNA (498 nucleotides) under uncultured bacterium. RNAcentral's name for it is "partial 16S ribosomal RNA". It matches the Rfam family "Bacterial small subunit ribosomal RNA", at positions 30 to 523 of the family's 1533-position model. The record is from RNAcentral.